This 435-nucleotide ribosomal RNA is filed under the name uncultured bacterium. RNAcentral describes it as "partial 16S ribosomal RNA". It matches the Rfam family "Bacterial small subunit ribosomal RNA", at positions 28 to 507 of the family's 1533-position model. The record is from RNAcentral.
GGCGAACGCUGGCGGCAGGCUUAACACAUGCAAGUCGAGCGGGCGUAGCAAUACGUCAGCGGCAGACGGGUGAGUAACGCGUGGGAACGUACCUUUUGGUUCGGAACAACACAGGGAAACUUGUGCUAAUACCGGAUAAGCCCUUACGGGGAAAGAUUUAUCGCCGAAAGAUCGGCCCGCGUCUGAUUAGCUAGUUGGUGAGGUAACGGCUCACCAAGGCGACGAUCAGUAGCUGGUCUGAGAGGAUGAUCAGCCACAUUGGGACUGAGACACGGCCCAAACUCCUACGGGAGGCAGCAGUGGGGAAUAUUGGACAAUGGGGGCAACCCUGAUCCAGCCAUGCCGCGUGAGUGAUGAAGGCCCUAGGGUUGUAAAGCUCUUUUGUGCGGGAAGAUAAUGACGGUACCGCAAGAAUAAGCCCCGGCUAACUUCGUG